Fundulus heteroclitus (mummichog) is the source of this 1788-nucleotide long non-coding RNA. RefSeq lists it as uncharacterized. Lineage: Eukaryota; Metazoa; Chordata; Actinopteri; Cyprinodontiformes; Fundulidae. The record is from RefSeq and is a predicted model, not a curated record. The transcript is spliced from 4 exons.
ACUUUUUAUUUCAAGUGGCAUUAAAAAGUCUUAAAGUCUUGAAUUUAACUUGCCUUAUGCUGUAGGAACCCUGUGUUAACUGAUGCUGUAUUUCAAUGUUUGUGGUGCUUUUCACGGUUUCAAUAAUUGUAUCUUUGUGUGUGUGUGCUUUUCCACCGUCUACCAAAUAAAGGAAACAUCCUAGUUGGAAAACAUGGCAGAUAGUAAAGAGGAGGAAUUGCGCAAAGCUGCCAUUGAUUUGGUUGCUAUGUUAAGAUCAUCAAUAAAUGGUCCAGCACCAAACAGUCUUUCCCUGGGUUAUUUAAAGAGAAGCAGAGUUCCAGGGCUCUGCUAUCUAAGAAAAGGUUUGCCCCCAAAAGAACUGCUGUGUCAUUUUUCCUGCUUAAAACCGCCUGUGAGAGAACUCCAAAACCAUCAGAGGAGAUGACCCUUCUACAGGCUGGGCUAGGACGAAGGACAGUUGACAUUGCAGCAGAUGCUGGUCAUAAGGAGGUUAGGAACCCACGGAGGAGCCUGGAAAACCUGGCAGGAAGCGGGUCCACCUGGACGCCAUCGUUGAGUUCAGGAAUGUGGACAGGAGCUGAAGCCUUGCCUGGACACUUGGAGACGUAGACAGGAGCUGAGACAUUUACCUGACCCUGAGGACGAGAAAAGGACCACUGAUGACCUCUUCAAACUUGAGACCAUGGCGGCGCUCAGGGGACAUGGGAUCACCGCAAAGAACAAAACAGCAGCAACAAAGCUUUUCAGUUUUCUUUUUUUUUUCUGCCUAAAGAAAAAUUUGUUUUGACACAUCUGCUUAGUCUAACCUGGAAAAACAAUCCAAAGGCCUGAGUUACCUUGACGUAUUUAUUUUCUUUUUCAUUUAUUUCCACGAGUUUAGACUUGCUGGGUUGUCACAGCAUGGUCUGCAGCAGAAAUCUUUCACAGACCAUGGACGUCAUUUCAAAGUGGAUUCGUCCAAAGUAGCAACAACCUAAAUGAAAAUGUGGGUCCAAACGAGUUAGCGGUGAUUGUUAUGCUGCGCAGUUUCAUUUCUAUGGAAGUGUUUAACUGCCAGACGCGAUAAAUAAAUUUAGGAGCAGUAUGUCGUAAGAACGAGACAAUUUCUGACUAUAACAACAUAAUAUUCUUUAUAUAACGAGAAAGCACCAGACAUUUAAUGUCUUAUGUUGUAUUCAUUUCAUUUCCUAAUAUUCAGGCUUAACGCACAUUUAAGGAAAAUGGUUGAAAUAGGGCUAAAGUGCAGUCUGAAAUUCCAAGAGAGGCAAAACUGCACCCGCUUCGGAUGUUAUCAUCCCAUAGAAUGGCGAUUAUCAGUGGUUAUCAGCCCCAUUGAAUAGCCUCAGUUGGUCCCUGCUCUGCCUGCUAUCAGGCUGUUAUUAACCAUUCUAUCGGUGAUAACAGCCGCUUGUCGCGAAUAGAACCUUUUUUUUUGUUUUUUUACCUUUUUUUAAAAACCUUUAUUUAUAAUGUAUCUGCGAAUUUGAACAGGAUAUUAAGAAUUUACUAAAAAUUCAAAAGCCAAACGUAUCAUAAGAUUUUAAUUAGGUAUUGUAAUAAUCGUUACAGUAUUUAAAAACAACUCACUAAAAUCUAAAACCGGAGGUUUUUUUUCCUGUUUUGUUUAUUUUUGUUCGCUUUUUUAAAGACUUAUAUUUCCAAUAUGCCUUUUAUUUCUUUGGAUUUUUUCCAAUAAUUCACUCAAAAUAAAUGCCAAAAUUUAACAUACUUGGUUAAUUUUAUUGGAUCGUGUUCUCUCAAUACAUGCCGUGUUUUUUCUUCCGG